Molecule: long non-coding RNA, 736 nt
Organism: Mercenaria mercenaria
Lineage: Eukaryota; Metazoa; Mollusca; Bivalvia; Venerida; Veneridae
Exons: 3
Source: RefSeq, a predicted model, not a curated record
GUUUACUAGACUGCUUUGAAAGUUGAUAGGGUGCUUUAGAACCACGAAAGGGCACUGUGAUGCAACAGAUCUCACCAAGGUACUCUUCCAGGUCUGGUACCUUUCCAGGUCUGGGACAACCAACAUGAUGAUUAGAGAAUAGUUGUUGGCUAGCGUGUUAGAGAAUACCGAGACAACAAUGAUGUAUCCCCAGAGAUAACAAAGAAAUUCUUCAGGGUUGUUGAUUCUUUAGAGAUAAGUGACUUGUGAGUCUUCUAUGAGAAAUGGGUAGUUACUUUUGGUUCAAAGAUGCUACCCUUCAGUCACUGAGCUUCAAGAAAAACCCAAAACCCAAGGGAUACUGUCUCACCUGAAGAAGUUGCCAUCUGUUUGUCCGGUUUGUCAGUGGUUCUUCUUACUCCCGAGACUGAACUGCCCAAACCAGAUCAGACAUACUGGGUAUCUAUCGGGGGGAAAUGAAGCUCCACACUGGAAAGGAGAGGUGUCCUAAACUGAGUGGCUUUACUUCUCCUGUCACUACCGCACUGCAAUGCUGAUCCAGAGCCGUCCUUCAGCAUACUGAGGAAGAUACAAACUGACAGCAGGAACAACCUAGCUCUGGAAACCAUUCAGAACUUAAUGUCUGUGAAAAUGAAAAAUCACUCUAUAUGUUAACAUUCUCUUCAUCUCAUGAACUUAUUAGAGAGGGAAAGUCAGCGUGUAAGUUACACUCGUAAGUGAAGACGGCAUAAAUGAU